RNAcentral lists this transfer RNA (72 nucleotides) under Sphaerodactylus townsendi. RNAcentral describes it as "tRNA-Ala". It matches the Rfam family "tRNA". Rfam says of the family: Transfer RNA (tRNA) molecules are approximately 80 nucleotides in length. Their secondary structure includes four short double-helical elements and three loops (D, anti-codon, and T loops). Lineage: Eukaryota; Metazoa; Chordata; Lepidosauria; Squamata; Sphaerodactylidae. The record is from RNAcentral.
GGAGCUGUGGCUCAGUAGUAGAGCCUCUGCUUGGCAUGCAGAAAGUCCUGGUUUCAAUCCCAGGCAUCUCCA